GAUGAAGAACGCAGCGAAAUGCGAUACGUAAUGUGAAUUGCAGAAUUCAGUGAAUCAUCGAGUCUUUGAACGCACAUUGCGCCCCCUGGUAUUCCGGGGGGCAUGCCUGUCCGAGCGUCAUUGCUGCCCUCAAGCCCGGCUUGUGUGUUGGGUCUCGUCCCCCUUCCCGGGGGGACGGGCCCGAAAGGCAGCGGCGGCACCGUGUCCGGUCCUCGAGCGUAUGGGGCUUUGUCACCCGCUCUGUAGGCCCGGCCGGCGCUUGCCGAUCAACCAAAACUUUUUUCCAGGUUGACCUCGGAUCAGGUAGGGAUACCCGCUGAACUUAAGCAUAUCAAUAAGGGAGGA
Molecule: unclassified non-coding RNA, 345 nt
Filed under: soil metagenome
Description: partial contains 5.8S ribosomal RNA, internal transcribed spacer 2, and large subunit ribosomal RNA
Rfam family: 5.8S ribosomal RNA (bases 1-120)
Source: RNAcentral